AUUGAACGCUGGCGGCAUGCCUUACACAUGCAAGUCGAACGGUAACGGGUCCUUCGGGAUGCCGACGAGUGGCGAACGGGUGAGUAAUAUAUCGGAACGUGCCCAGUAGUGGGGGAUAACUGCUCGAAAGAGCAGCUAAUACCGCAUACGACCUGAGGGUGAAAGGGGGGGAUCGCAAGACCUCUCGCUAUUGGAGCGGCCGAUAUCAGAUUAGCUAGUUGGUGGGGUAAAGGCCUACCAAGGCAACGAUCUGUAGUUGGUCUGAGAGGACGACCAGCCACACUGGGACUGAGACACGGCCCAGACUCCUACGGGAGGCAGCAGUGGGGAAUUUUGGACAAUGGGCGCAAGCCUGAUCCAGCAAUGCCGCGUGCAGGAAGAAGGCCUUCGGGUUGUAAACUGCUUUUGUCAGGGAAGAAAUCUUCUGGGCUAAUACCCCGGGAGGAUGACGGUACCUGAAGAAUAAGCACCGGCUAACUACGUGCCAGCAGCCGCGGUAAUACGUAGGGUGCGAGCGUUAAUCGGAAUUACUGGGCGUAAAGCGUGCGCAGGCGGCUUUGCAAGACAGAUGUGAAAUCCCCGGGCUCAACCUGGGAACUGCAUUUGUGACUGCAAGGCUAGAGUACGGCAGAGGGGGAUGGAAUUCCGCGUGUAGCAGUGAAAUGCGUAGAUAUGCGGAGGAACACCAAUGGCGAAGGCAAUCCCCUGGGCCUGUACUGACGCUCAUGCACGAAAGCGUGGGGAGCAAACAGGAUUAGAUACCCUGGUAGUCCACGCCCUAAACGAUGUCAACUGGUUGUUGGACGGCUUGCUGUUCAGUAACGAAGCUAACGCGUGAAGUUGACCGCCUGGGGAGUACGGCCGCAAGGUUGAAACUCAAAGGAACUGACGGGGACCCGCACAAGCGGUGGAUGAUGUGGUUUAAUUCGAUGCAACGCGAAAAACCUUACCUACCCUUGACAUGUCAAGAAUUCUGCAGAGAUGUGGAAGUGCUCGAAAGAGAACUUGAACACAGGUGCUGCAUGGCCGUCGUCAGCUCGUGUCGUGAGAUGUUGGGUUAAGUCCCGCAACGAGCGCAACCCUUGUCAUUAGUUGCUACGCAAGAGCACUCUAAUGAGACUGCCGGUGACAAACCGGAGGAAGGUGGGGAUGACGUCAGGUCCUCAUGGCCCUUAUGGGUAGGGCUACACACGUCAUACAAUGGCCGGUACAGAGGGCUGCCAACCCGCGAGGGGGAGCCAAUCCCAGAAAACCGGUCGUAGUCCGGAUCGUAGUCUGCAACUCGACUGCGUGAAGUCGGAAUCGCUAGUAAUCGCGGAUCAGCUUGCCGCGGUGAAUACGUUCCCGGGUCU
RNAcentral lists this ribosomal RNA (1352 nucleotides) under uncultured bacterium. RNAcentral's name for it is "bacterial SSU rRNA". It matches the Rfam family "Bacterial small subunit ribosomal RNA", at positions 28 to 1381 of the family's 1533-position model. The record is from RNAcentral.